GAUGAACGCUGGCGGCGUGCCUAAUACAUGCAAGUCGAGCGAACAGAUAAGGAGCUUGCUCCUUUGACGUUAGCGGCGGACGGGUGAGUAACACGUGGGUAACCUACCUAUAAGACUGGGAUAACUUCGGGAAACCGGAGCUAAUACCGGAUAACAUUUGGAACCGCAUGGUUCUAAAGUGAAAGAUGGUUUUGCUAUCACUUAUAGAUGGACCCGCGCCGUAUUAGCUAGUUGGUAAGGUAACGGCUUACCAAGGCGACGAUACGUAGCCGACCAGAGAGGGUGAACGGCCACAGUAGAACAGAGACGCGGUACAGACUGCUACGAGGGGCAGGUGUAGGGUAUUUUCCGAAAGGGGAGAGAGCCAACGGAGCAACGCGGCGUGGGUGAGGAAGGGUUUCGACUCGUAAAACUCUGUUAUUAGGGAAGAACAAAUGUGUAAGUAACUGUGCAGGUCUGGACGGUACAAAAUAAGAAAGCCACGGCUAAUUACUG
Molecule: ribosomal RNA, 495 nt
Filed under: uncultured bacterium
Lineage: Bacteria
Description: partial 16S ribosomal RNA
Rfam family: Bacterial small subunit ribosomal RNA
Source: RNAcentral